AUGAACGCUGGCGGCGUGCUUAACACAUGCAAGUCGAACGAGAAGUGAAGACGGAAACCUUCGGGCGGAAGGCUUUAUUUCGAGUGGCGGACGGGUGAGUAACGCGUGGGUAACCUGCCUCAUACAGGGGGAUAACAGUUGGAAACGACUGUUAAUACCGCAUAAGACCACAGCACCGCAUGGUGCGGGGGUAAAAACUCCGGUGGUAUGAGAUGGACCCGCGUUCGAUUAGCCAGUUGGCGGGGUAACGGCCCACCAAAGCGACGAUCGAUAGCCGAUCUGAGAGGAUGACCGGCCACAUUGGGACUGAGACACGGCCCAAACUCCUACGGGAGGCAGCAGUGGGGAAUAUUGCACAAUGGGGGAAACCCUGAUGCAGCGACGCCGCGUGAGUGAAGAAGUAUUUCGGUAUGUAAAGCUCUAUCAGCAAGGAAGAAAAUGACGGUACCUGAGUAAGAAGCCCCGGCUAACUACGUG
RNAcentral lists this ribosomal RNA (477 nucleotides) under uncultured bacterium. RNAcentral describes it as "partial 16S ribosomal RNA". It matches the Rfam family "Bacterial small subunit ribosomal RNA", at positions 29 to 507 of the family's 1533-position model. The record is from RNAcentral.